CAGCCGCCGCGGUAAUACGGAGGGUGCAAGCGUUAAUCGGAAUUACUGGGCGUAAAGCGCACGCAGGCGGUCUGACAAGUCAGAUGUGAAAUCCCCGGGCUUAACCUGGGAACUGCAUUUGAAACUGUCAGGCUGGAGUCUUGUAGAGGGGGGUGGAAUUCCAGGUGUAGCGGUGAAAUGCGUAGAGAUCUGGAGGAAUACCGGUGGCGAAGGCGGCCCCCUGGACAAAGACUGACGCUCAGGUGCGAAAGCGUGGGGAGCAAACAGGAUUAGAGACCCCUGUAGUCCCUGUCUCUUAUAU
This 301-nucleotide ribosomal RNA is filed under the name uncultured bacterium. RNAcentral's name for it is "partial 16S ribosomal RNA". It matches the Rfam family "Bacterial small subunit ribosomal RNA", at positions 509 to 809 of the family's 1533-position model. The record is from RNAcentral.